Molecule: ribosomal RNA, 253 nt
Filed under: uncultured bacterium
Lineage: Bacteria
Description: partial 16S ribosomal RNA
Rfam family: Bacterial small subunit ribosomal RNA
Source: RNAcentral
UACGAGUGCCCCAAGCGUUAUCCGGAAUCACUGGGCGUAAAGGGUAUGUAGGUGGUUUUGCUAGUCCUUCGUUAAAGCUCCCGGCUUAACCGGGAAAAUGCGCGGGAAACGGCAAGACUAGAGGGUGUGAGAGGUUUGCAGAACUCAUGGUGUAGGGGUGAAAUCCGUUGAUAUCAUGGGGAAUACCAAAUGCGAAGGCAGCAAACUGGCACAUUCCUGACACUGAGAUACGAAAGCGUGGGUAGCGAAUGGG